RNAcentral lists this ribosomal RNA (253 nucleotides) under uncultured bacterium. Its description in RNAcentral is "partial 16S ribosomal RNA". It matches the Rfam family "Bacterial small subunit ribosomal RNA", at positions 524 to 776 of the family's 1533-position model. The record is from RNAcentral.
UACGAAGGGGGCUAGCGUUGUUCGGAAUUACUGGGCGUAAAGCGUGCGCAGGCGGUUCGCUAAGACAGAUGUGAAAUCCCCGGGCUUAACCUGGGAACUGCAUUUGUGACUGGCGGGCUAGAGUAUGGCAGAGGGGGGUAGAAUUCCACGUGUAGCAGUGAAAUGCGUAGAGAUGUGGAGGAAUACCGAUGGCGAAGGCAGCCCCCUGGGCCAAUACUGACGCUCAUGCACGAAAGCGUGGGGAGCAAACAGG